GUGGGGAAUCUUGCGCAAUGGGCGAAAGCCUGACGCAGCCAUGCCGCGUGAAUGAUGAAGGUCUUAGGAUUGUAAAAUUCUUUCACCGGGGACGAUAAUGACGGUACCCGGAGAAGAAGCUCCGGCUAACUUCGUGCCAGCAGCCGCGGUAAUACGAAGGGGGCUAGCGUUGCUCGGAAUUACUGGGCGUAAAGGGCGCGUAGGCGGACAGCUUAGUCAGAGGUGAAAGCCCAGGGCUCAACCUUGGAAUUGCCUUUGAUACUGGCUGUCUUGAGUGUGGGAGAGGUGAGUGGAAAUCCGAGUGUAGAGGUGAAAUUCGUAGAUAUUCGGAAGAACACCAGUGGCGAAGGCGACUCACUGGCCCAAUACUGACGCUGAGGCGCGAAAGCGUGGGGAGCAAACAGGAUUAGAUACCCGGGUAGUCC
Molecule: ribosomal RNA, 425 nt
Filed under: uncultured bacterium
Lineage: Bacteria
Description: partial 16S ribosomal RNA
Rfam family: Bacterial small subunit ribosomal RNA
Source: RNAcentral